Molecule: ribosomal RNA, 934 nt
Filed under: bacterium
Lineage: Bacteria
Description: bacterial SSU rRNA
Rfam family: Bacterial small subunit ribosomal RNA
Source: RNAcentral
AUAGUGGCGGACGGGUGAGGAAUACGUAGGGAUCUGCCCUUAAGUGGGGGAUAACCCGGGGAAACCCGGAUUAAUACCGCAUGAUCUCGCAAGAGCAAAGAGGGGGACCGCAAGGCCUCUCGCUUUUGGAGGAACCUACGUCGGAUUAGCUAGUUGGUGAGGUAACGGCUCACCAAGGCGACGAUCCGUAACUGGUCUGAGAGGAUGAUCAGUCACACCGGAACUGAGACACGGUCCGGACUCCUACGGGAGGCAGCAGUGGGGAAUAUUGGACAAUGGGCGAAAGCCUGAUCCAGCAAUACCGCGUGUGUGAAGAAGGCCUUCGGGUUGUAAAGCACUUUAAGUUGGGAAGAAAAAGCUUCACCUAAUACGUGGAGCCUUGACGGUACCGACAGAAUAAGCACCGGCUAACUCUGUGCCAGCAGCCGCGGUAAUACAGAGGGUGCUAGCGUUAAUCGGAUUUACUGGGCGUAAAGCGUGCGUAGGCGGUUUGAUAAGUCGAUUGUGAAAGCCCCGGGCUCAACCUGGGAAUUGCGGUCGAUACUGUCAGACUCGAAAACGGUAGAGGGAGGCGGAACUCCAGGUGUAGCGGUGAAAUGCGUAGAUAUCUGGAAGAACACCGAUGGCGAAGGCAACCUCCUGGGCCUGUUUUGACGCUGAGGCACGAAAGCGUGGGUAGCAAACAGGAUUAGAUACCCUGGUAGUCCACGCCGUAAACGAUGAGAACUUGACGUUGGUUUGCUUAGCAAAUCGGUGUCGUAGCUAACGCGAUAAGUUCUCCGCCUGGGGAGUACGGCCGCAAGGUUGAAACUCAAAGGAAUUGACGGGGGCCCGCACAAGCGGUGGAGUAUGUGGUUUAAUUCGAUGCAACGCGAAGAACCUUACCUGGUCUUGACAUGUCAAGGAGUCUGCAGAGAUGCGGAUGUGCCUUCGG